GGAGUAUCCAAAGCGAUCGCUGUCCUCUAGAGGGAGGGAGGAAAGUCCGGACUCCACAGGGCAGGGCGCUGGAGAAAUUCCAGUGGGUGCGAACCCAAGGAAAGUGCCACAGAAACAUACCGCCCAGGGCUUCGACUGGGCAAAGGGCUGCGGCUGUUUGCCUUAGUUGUAAGCCUUGGGUAAGGGUGAAAAGGUGAGGUAAGAGCUCACCAGCUGCAGGGCGACCUGCAGGCUAGGCAAACCCCGCCCGGAGCAAGACCGAAUAGGAGGGGAUGAGGUGGCCCGCUGACCCUCGGGUACGGUCGCACGAGGCAUGGCGCAAGUCAUGUCCCAGAUAAAUGAUCGCUAUUUACAGAAUCCGGCUUAUUGGAUGCUCCUUUU
Thermovirga lienii DSM 17291 is the source of this 381-nucleotide non-coding RNA. It matches the Rfam family "Bacterial RNase P class A". Rfam says of the family: Ribonuclease P (RNase P) is a ubiquitous endoribonuclease, found in archaea, bacteria and eukarya as well as chloroplasts and mitochondria. Its best characterised activity is the generation of mature 5'-ends of tRNAs by cleaving the 5'-leader elements of precursor-tRNAs. Lineage: Bacteria; Thermotogati; Synergistota; Synergistia; Synergistales; Thermovirgaceae. The record is from Rfam.